AAAACAUAUGUCACUUAGUUGAAAAGUUUGUCGACCUUAAAAAUGCUGCAUAUCAACAUCAAAGUUUGGAAAGAGAGCAAGAGAGUGAGAAGAAUAUCUCAUCGUUACCAAGUAAGAUAUGAAAAGAUUAUUUAAUAUAUAUUUUUUAUUUUCCUAUUUAAUUUUUGUGCAUGUCAAUUAUUUUUUUUUAUCACGGUUGCUUAAUAAAUCGUUAAAAUACUACAUGUAUUUAUAACGAUAUUUUAAAUCUUAAACAACUGAAGACAAUUUUAAGAUGUUUUUAUUUUUAUUUUUUAUUUUUAUUUACAAAUCAAUCAAAAGUCAACAACUAUUCAACUGAUUUAUAUUGUACAUAUAUGUUAGGGUUAGAACUUAAUGACUUUACAUGUGUGACGUGUAUAUACAGGGGCUGAUGGUUUUUAGGGACCAUUUACAUUAUAACAUUGAUAAGUAAUUGUCUCUAAAAUUGUAACAUGAAUUUGAUUAAAACUUGUUUCUUUUAUAAUUUUACGAAAUGUUUUGGCUUAAUCUUACCUCACUUUAAUCCGAAUGGAAUUAGAUAUGAAUAUUAGAUAAUUGAAUGUUGCCCUUGUUUCAAUGUUAUAUGGUUAAGUGCCUUUUGACAGUGAUAAACACACAUUCUCUUUCUAAAAAUAAAUACCACUGUUGUGUUGGAAAUCCAAUUAUCAUAAUAGAUAACGACCAUUAUCGACAAGCGUCUGUUUCCAUUUAUUUGUUAUUCACAAUAUUUUGACAAACACGUUAGAAUUUCAUUUUUGUUCCGAUCUACGUUAAAAAAAAUAUUUUAUUAAGUUGAAUAAUAAUGUUAUAAAUAUCUAGGUGCGAAAUUCUUGUAAUCAUAUAUAUGCUGCCUUCGUACAAGAGCUAGAAAAAAUAAUGAAUAGAUACAAAAUUAAUUAGCUUGAUUUUCCUAUUAAGAAAGAAUCGAUACUUGCUUGGUAGCUAUUGAACCAAGAGUUCCAACUGAUAAAUUUGAAAUAAUUCAUUUGCAAAAAUGAACGCCUUGGAAAUAGAGGUAAUUGAAUGCUUAAUUGAUACAUUAAAAGGUAAAACUGUUUAUUGAAAUGAACAACAACUACAAAUGAGUUACCAUGAUUAGAGUUUUAUUCAAGCUUAUUCGUCAAAUAUCAAAUAUUUGUGUUUGUUUAACUGAGACAUUUAAAGGGAGAUCACUCAAUUGUAAUUUUUUUAUUUGAUAACAAAUUGAUAGAGAAAGUUUUAAUUUUAACUUGUAGCAAGAAAACAAGGUCAGUGACACCAUUUUGUUUUUGUUUAGAUUCUUCUAAAACCUAUCUUCUCAUAUUUUAUUUCAAAACUAUAUAUCAUAGAUAUCUUUGAAAUCACAAAGACCGUGUUCGUUAAUGAACAAUCUAUGCAAAUUAAGCCAUAGCUAGGCGACCACAAUAUCUUUUUCAAAUACAAGCAAACAUCUACAUUUUGAUUAAGAUUAAACAAAUUCUACAUGCAAACAGAAAAACUAAUAAUCCACCAAAAUUCAAAGGCACAUAGAGGAUUUGCAGAAAAGUCUACUGUGAAUAAAGAAAAAAAUUAUAUCAUCACAUUCAUAUUUUUACGGUUUGAAGAUGAAAAAAUUCACUAACCAUUUUAAAGUGGACUUAAAAAAAAUAUAUAUUACUGACCUAUAAACAUGUAUAUGGCGUAUGGAAAAUUGUUUUAUUUACUUAUAUAUUUUACGGACUUUUAUUUUUUACAGCUAUUUCUGAUAGUUUUGAUCAUAUAUUCCUAUAUAUAAGUGCAUAUACAACACAGAUCAUACAGGGACAAGAAAUGGCAAAAGGUUUUUUUCGUUAUUGAAGACCUUUGAAAUGGAGGUUAAAAAAUGUAUCAACCAAUAACAGGAUGCAGCAAUAAAAAACAGGAUUCAUUUUUCAUUUAGUUUUAAAAACAUUACAAGGAAGUGAUUGGUUAAUAAAACAUUUGCCGUUAAGUUGUGAAAUUCGUUCGACUUUUUAAAUACUACAUGUGAAUAUCAAAAUUUGGAAAGAGAGCAACAGAGUUAGCAGGAUGGCUAAACAUUACCAGGUAAGAUUUCAAAGGAUUAGUCAACAUAUUUGGUAGCUUUUUUCUUGAUUAUUGAUGAUUUUUGUCGUGUUUGUUUGGGGGGAAGCUCAUUAAAUCGUGUAAUUUCAUAUUCAAGAAAUGCUGCUCUAUAGAUGAUUUUCUUUUGGAGACAAAUAUUUAUAUAUAUUCCGCUAGGUGGAAAAUUCAUUCGUUCGACUUUUAAUUAAUGAGAACAUAAAAGUUCGGAACCCAAGCAAUAUAGAUAGAAGGUGAGAUUUCCAAAAAAAGAUAUAUGUAUACCAAUGGUCAACCUUAAUUUUGAGACCAUAAAAAUGAAAUUACAGAAACAUUCAGAUGAAGAUGAAGUUAUGUUUUUAGCUACUACAUACCAACCUAUAUAAUCACGGUUUAACAGUAUAAAUACACUAAUCAAUUGCAAACUUUUCAAAUAAAUGAAAAAGAAAAAUAAUGUAUUCUACUUAACUGUGUGUAUGACAUUUAAAGGUUUUAUUUACAAAUAUGUACGUUUAUUUUUUUAAAGCUAUUUCUGAUUGUUUUGAUCAUGGUAUUCAUGUCUCGAAGUACAUGCUCAGUACAGUGCACAAAGGAACUAGACACUCCAGAUUUUUUGCUGUUAUUAAAGGC
RNAcentral lists this long non-coding RNA (2688 nucleotides) under Mytilus galloprovincialis (Mediterranean mussel). Lineage: Eukaryota; Metazoa; Mollusca; Bivalvia; Mytilida; Mytilidae. The record is from RNAcentral.